This 1311-nucleotide ribosomal RNA is filed under the name Streptomyces sp. RNAcentral describes it as "partial 16S ribosomal RNA". Lineage: Bacteria; Bacillati; Actinomycetota; Actinomycetes; Kitasatosporales; Streptomycetaceae. The record is from RNAcentral.
GCGUUGAAGGAGGAGCCAGAAUCAAAUCUUAUUGUUGGUGGGGUAAUGGCCUACCAAGGCGACGACGGGUAGCCGGCCUGAGAGGGCGACCGGCCACACUGGGACUGAGACACGGCCCAGACUAAUACGGGAGGCAGCAGUGGGGAAUAUUGCACAAUGGGCGAAAGCCUGAUGCAGCGACGCCGCGUGAGGGAUGACGGCCUUCGGGUUGUAAACCUCUUUCAGCAGGGAAGAAGCGAAAGUGACGGUACCUGCAGAAGAAGCGCCGGCUAACUACGUGCCAGCAGCCGCGGUAAUACGUAGGGCGCAAGCGUUGUCCGGAAUUAUUGGGCGUAAAGAGCUCGUAGGCGGCUUGUCACGUCGGAUGUGAAAGCCCGGGGCUUAACCCCGGGUUCUGCAUUCGAUACGGGCUAGCUAGAGUGUGGUAGGGGAGAUYGGAAUUNCCUGGUGUAGCGRUGAAAUGCGCAGAUAUCAGGAGGAACACCGGUGGCGAAGGCGGAUCUCUGGGCCAUUACUGACGCUGAGGAGCGAAAGCGUGGGGAGCGAACAGGAUUAGAUACCCUGGUAGUCCACGCCGUAAACGUUGGGAACUAGGUGUUGGCGACAUUCCACGUCGUCGGUGCCGCAGCUAACGCAUUAAGUUCCCCGCCUGGGGAGUACGGCCGCAAGGCUAAAACUCAAAGGAAUUGACGGGGGGCCCGCACAAGCAGCGGAGCAUUGUGGCUUAAUUCGACGCAACGCGAAGGAACCUUACCAAGGCUUGACAUAUACCGGAAAGCAUCAAGAGAUGGGUGCCCCCCCUUUGUGGUCGGGUAUACAGGUGGUGCAUGGCUGUCGUCCAGCCUACGRURSSMMKAMGWUSMGKKGUUKMGYCSGGSGUYUMSCRYGSMKKURAWSWGYGKYNKMSRGSWYKYYRKUSGMRSAGAUGGGGAUCACACUCGACUGCCGGCUUCACCUCGGUCGAAGGUGGCGAGCUGACGAGGAUCAUGCACCUUAUGUCUUGGGCUGCACACGUGCUACAAUGGCCGGUACAAUGAGCUGCGAUGCCGCGAGGCGGAGCGAAUCUCAAAAAGCCGGUCUCAGUUCGGAUUGGGGUCUGCAACUCGACCCCAUGAAGUCGGAGUUGCUAGUAAUCGCAGAUCAGCAUUGCUGCGGUGAAUACGUUCCCGGGCCUUGUACACACCGCCCGUCACGUCACGAAAGUCGGUAACACCCGAAGCCGGUGGCCCAACCCCUUGUGGGAGGGAGCUGUCGAAGGUGGGACUGGCGAUUGGGACGAAGUCGUAACAAGGUAGCCGUACCGGAAGGUGC